GACGAACGCUGGCGGCGUGCCUAAUACAUGCAAGUCGAACGCUUCUUUCCUCCCGAGUUCUUGCACUCAAUUGGAAAGAGGAGUGGCGUACGGGUGAGUAACACGUGUGUAACCUACCCAUCAGAGGGGGAUAACACUUUGAAACAGUUGCUAAUACCGCAUAACAGUUUAUGCCGCAUGGCAUAAGAGUGAAAGGGGCUUUCUGGUGUCGCUUAUGGAUUGACCCGCGGUGCAUUAGCUAGUUGGUGAGGUAACGGCUCACCAAGGCCACGAUGCAUAGCCGACCUGAGAGGGUGAUCGGCCACACUGGGACUGAGACACGGCCCAGACUCCUACGGGAGGCAGCAGUAGGGAAUCUUCGGCAAUGGACGAAAGUCUGACCGAGCAACGCCGCGUGAGUGAAGAAGGUGUUCGGAUCGUAAAACUCUGUUGUUAGGGAAGAAAAAGGACGUUAGUAACUGAACGUCCCCUGACGGUAUCUAAACAGAAAGCCACGGCUAACUACGUG
Molecule: ribosomal RNA, 508 nt
Filed under: uncultured bacterium
Lineage: Bacteria
Description: partial 16S ribosomal RNA
Rfam family: Bacterial small subunit ribosomal RNA
Source: RNAcentral